Molecule: long non-coding RNA, 318 nt
Filed under: Erythranthe guttata (spotted monkey flower)
Lineage: Eukaryota; Viridiplantae; Streptophyta; Magnoliopsida; Lamiales; Phrymaceae
Description: long non-coding RNA (EGUT_LNC001017)
Source: RNAcentral
UUAACAUGAAUCUCACAUUUACCUGUUACUUUAAACAUUCACGGAUACUUAACAUCCAACUUUCUUUUAUAAUCGGGUACUUAACACCCUUCUAACAUUUAAGGGUACUUAACACCCUUUUAACUUUACUAUGCAAUAUGCAAUAUGCAACUUUUAGACUUCUAGACUUUUCAUGAAAUAAUGCAUGAGAAAACAUUGGGCCCGUUUGGAAAAACAAUCGUGGAGUUCGGCAAUAAGCCGUGUGUUUUGGAGCUUGUGAUCUAUAACUUUACUAUAGUCACGACUAUAACUUUACUAUAGCCGAGUUAGUGGUUUAUA